GCGGGUUGUUUACUUCUCACAUAAUCUUGAUAUCAGCCACGGCAAAUCAAGUUACAGGACAUGAAUAGCUUUGUGAACAUGUGAAGGUUAUACAGUUUUAUGGAGUGAGUGGUAAACAUCAUUAAACCAUCAAGACUCAAGUACAGGGCAAGGCAGAGGAACAGUGAAGGCUGCCAAGGGAAACCUGUUCAAACAUGAUGGAAUGAGAGUGGCAGAAAUAGCAAAUAAAGAAAGGAAACAUAACCUCGCCCCGUAACAAGAAGCAGUAUUAACAGUGCAACCAUAAGUGCCAGCGAAACAGUGCCAACAUAACAGUGCCUUGUCUCUUUCCCGCUCCACCCACCUUGCCAAAUUGCCGUACUCAGCCUGUAACAUUUACCGAUUUCCGACCCAAAAACUAUCUCCUGGGCCCCAAUAACGAGAUGUGUUUGUAGUUAUCGUUAAAAUAGUUAAAUGCUGAUGUUUCUUGGCGAUAGUUACACGUCAGAAACCGGUCAACACUAUGCUCUGAGUACGACUAUCUGGCAAGGGUGCGCUCUCCGCCUCGUCGUCCCGCAGUCGUCAACCGCGGCAGCUUAUGGAUCAAGCAGCGGCAGGGCGUAAUGAAAGCCCUUCAGAGCCCCGACACGGCCUUUAAGGAGAGAGCGUGCGAACGUACCCUUGCCGAGAUGCGACCGACUGACGCAGCCGACGCGAGGCAGCCAGCACGACACAUCCCGGAUUAUGGCUCUCGACAGCUCAUUAUGGCGCUGAC
This is a long non-coding RNA of Eriocheir sinensis (Chinese mitten crab), 754 nucleotides long. RefSeq lists it as uncharacterized. The transcript has 3 exons. The record is from RefSeq and is a predicted model, not a curated record. NCBI's taxonomy places the organism in Eukaryota, Metazoa, Arthropoda, Malacostraca, Decapoda, Varunidae.